CCUACGGGAGGCAGCAGUGAGGAAUAUUGGUCAAUGGGCGGAAGCCUGAACCAGCCAAGUAGCGUGCGGGAUGAAGGCCCAACGGGUCGUAAACCGCUUUUGCUGGGGGAUAAAACCCUCCACUUGUGGAGGUCUGCGGGUACCGUGCGAAUAAGCGCCGGCUAAUUCCGUGCCAGCAGCCGCGGUAAUACGGAAGGCCCGAGCGUUAUCCGGAUUCAUUGGGUUUAAAGGGAGCGUAGGCGGGCGUUCAAGUCAGCGGUAAAAUCGCGCGGCUCAACCGCGCCCCGCAGUUGAAACUGGGGGCCUUGAGUGCACAACAGGCAGGCGGAAUUCGUGGUGUAGCGGUGAAAUGCAUAGAUAUCGCGAGGAACCCCGAUUGCGAAGGCAGCCUGCCGGGGUGCGACUGACGCUGAGGCUCGAAGGUGCGGGGAUCAAACAGGAUUAGAUACCCGUGUAGUC
Molecule: ribosomal RNA, 459 nt
Filed under: uncultured bacterium
Lineage: Bacteria
Description: partial 16S ribosomal RNA
Rfam family: Bacterial small subunit ribosomal RNA
Source: RNAcentral